This 1526-nucleotide ribosomal RNA is filed under the name Klebsiella pneumoniae. Its description in RNAcentral is "bacterial SSU rRNA". It matches the Rfam family "Bacterial small subunit ribosomal RNA". The record is from RNAcentral. Lineage: Bacteria; Pseudomonadati; Pseudomonadota; Gammaproteobacteria; Enterobacterales; Enterobacteriaceae. RNAcentral also lists the same sequence under 2 other names.
GAGUUUGAUCAUGGCUCAGAUUGAACGCUGGCGGCAGGCCUAACACAUGCAAGUCGAGCGGUAGCACAGAGAGCUUGCUCUCGGGUGACGAGCGGCGGACGGGUGAGUAAUGUCUGGGAAACUGCCUGAUGGAGGGGGAUAACUACUGGAAACGGUAGCUAAUACCGCAUAAUGUCGCAAGACCAAAGUGGGGGACCUUCGGGCCUCAUGCCAUCAGAUGUGCCCAGAUGGGAUUAGCUAGUAGGUGGGGUAACGGCUCACCUAGGCGACGAUCCCUAGCUGGUCUGAGAGGAUGACCAGCCACACUGGAACUGAGACACGGUCCAGACUCCUACGGGAGGCAGCAGUGGGGAAUAUUGCACAAUGGGCGCAAGCCUGAUGCAGCCAUGCCGCGUGUGUGAAGAAGGCCUUCGGGUUGUAAAGCACUUUCAGCGGGGAGGAAGGCGGUGAGGUUAAUAACCUCAUCGAUUGACGUUACCCGCAGAAGAAGCACCGGCUAACUCCGUGCCAGCAGCCGCGGUAAUACGGAGGGUGCAAGCGUUAAUCGGAAUUACUGGGCGUAAAGCGCACGCAGGCGGUCUGUCAAGUCGGAUGUGAAAUCCCCGGGCUCAACCUGGGAACUGCAUUCGAAACUGGCAGGCUAGAGUCUUGUAGAGGGGGGUAGAAUUCCAGGUGUAGCGGUGAAAUGCGUAGAGAUCUGGAGGAAUACCGGUGGCGAAGGCGGCCCCCUGGACAAAGACUGACGCUCAGGUGCGAAAGCGUGGGGAGCAAACAGGAUUAGAUACCCUGGUAGUCCACGCCGUAAACGAUGUCGAUUUGGAGGUUGUGCCCUUGAGGCGUGGCUUCCGGAGCUAACGCGUUAAAUCGACCGCCUGGGGAGUACGGCCGCAAGGUUAAAACUCAAAUGAAUUGACGGGGGCCCGCACAAGCGGUGGAGCAUGUGGUUUAAUUCGAUGCAACGCGAAGAACCUUACCUGGUCUUGACAUCCACAGAACUUUCCAGAGAUGGAUUGGUGCCUUCGGGAACUGUGAGACAGGUGCUGCAUGGCUGUCGUCAGCUCGUGUUGUGAAAUGUUGGGUUAAGUCCCGCAACGAGCGCAACCCUUAUCCUUUGUUGCCAGCGGUCCGGCCGGGAACUCAAAGGAGACUGCCAGUGAUAAACUGGAGGAAGGUGGGGAUGACGUCAAGUCAUCAUGGCCCUUACGACCAGGGCUACACACGUGCUACAAUGGCAUAUACAAAGAGAAGCGACCUCGCGAGAGCAAGCGGACCUCAUAAAGUAUGUCGUAGUCCGGAUUGGAGUCUGCAACUCGACUCCAUGAAGUCGGAAUCGCUAGUAAUCGUAGAUCAGAAUGCUACGGUGAAUACGUUCCCGGGCCUUGUACACACCGCCCGUCACACCAUGGGAGUGGGUUGCAAAAGAAGUAGGUAGCUUAACCUUCGGGAGGGCGCUUACCACUUUGUGAUUCAUGACUGGGGUGAAGUCGUAACAAGGUAACCGUAGGGGAACCUGCGGUUGGAUCACC